AGAUUGAACGCUGGCGGCAUGCUUUACACAUGCAAGUCGAACGGUAACAGGCCCUUCGGGGGUGCUGACGAGUGGCGGACGGGUGAGUAAUGCGUAGGAAUCUACCCACGAGUGGGGGAUAGCCCGGAGAAAUCCGGAUUAAUACCGCAUAUGCCCUACGGGGUAAAGCGGGGGAUCGUAAGACCUCGCGCUGGUGGAUGAGCCUACGUCCGAUUAGUUAGUUGGUGGGUAAAGGCCUACCAAGGCUACGAUCGGUAGCUGGUCUGAGAGGACGACCAGCCACACUGGGACUGAGACACGGCCCAGACUCCUACGGGAGCAGC
RNAcentral lists this ribosomal RNA (323 nucleotides) under uncultured prokaryote. RNAcentral describes it as "bacterial SSU rRNA". It matches the Rfam family "Bacterial small subunit ribosomal RNA", at positions 26 to 352 of the family's 1533-position model. The record is from RNAcentral.